This 155-nucleotide ribosomal RNA is filed under the name Origanum majorana. Its description in RNAcentral is "5.8S ribosomal RNA". It matches the Rfam family "5.8S ribosomal RNA". Rfam says of the family: 5.8S ribosomal RNA (5.8S rRNA) is a component of the large subunit of the eukaryotic ribosome. Lineage: Eukaryota; Viridiplantae; Streptophyta; Magnoliopsida; Lamiales; Lamiaceae. The record is from RNAcentral.
CUCGGCAACGGAUAUCUCGGCUCUUGCAUCGAUGAAGAACGUAGCGAAAUGCGAUAAUUGGUGUGAAUUGCAGAAUCCCGUGAACCAUCGAGUCUUUGAACGCAAGUUGCGCCCGAAGCCAUUAGGCUGAGGGCACGUCUGCCUGGGCGUCACGC